Non-coding RNA from Phthorimaea operculella (potato tuberworm), 75 nucleotides. Lineage: Eukaryota; Metazoa; Arthropoda; Insecta; Lepidoptera; Gelechiidae. The record is from the annotation of a GenBank genome assembly.
GCGCCCGUAGCUCAGUUUGUAGAGCGGUGGAACGGUGAUCCACAGUCCCAGGAUCAAGUCCCGUCGUCGGUCGCU